UACAGAGGGUGCAAGCGUUAAUCGGAAUUACUGGGCGUAAAGCGUGCGUAGGUGGUUUGUUAAGUCAGGCGUGAAAUCCCUGGGCUCAACCUGGGAACUGCGUUUGAUACUGGCAUACUCGAGUGUGGUAGAGGGUAGUGGAAUUCCUCAUGUAGCAGUGAAAUGCGUAGAUAUGCGGAGGAACACCAGUGGCGAAGGCGGCUACCUGGACCAACACCGACACUGAGGCACGAAAGCGUGGGGAGCAAACAGG
Molecule: ribosomal RNA, 253 nt
Filed under: uncultured bacterium
Lineage: Bacteria
Description: partial 16S ribosomal RNA
Rfam family: Bacterial small subunit ribosomal RNA
Source: RNAcentral